RNAcentral lists this ribosomal RNA (486 nucleotides) under uncultured bacterium. Its description in RNAcentral is "partial 16S ribosomal RNA". It matches the Rfam family "Bacterial small subunit ribosomal RNA", at positions 30 to 507 of the family's 1533-position model. The record is from RNAcentral.
AUUGAACGCUGGCGGCAUGCCUUACACAUGCAAGUCGAACGGCAGCACGGGUGCUUGCACCUGGUGGCGAGUGGCGAACGGGUGAGUAAUACAUCGGAACAUGUCCUGUAGUGGGGGAUAGCCCGGCGAAAGCCGGAUUAAUACCGCAUACGAUCUACGGAUGAAAGCGGGGGACCUUCGGGCCUGGCGCUAUAGGGUUGGCCGAUGGCUGAUUAGCUAGUUGGUGGGGUAAAGGCCUACAAAGGCGACGAUCAGUAGCUGGUCUGAGAGGACGACCAGCCACACUGGGACUGAGACACGGCCCAGACUCCUACGGGAGGCAGCAGUGGGGAAUUUUGGACAAUGGGCGAAAGCCUGAUCCAGCAAUGCCGCGUGUGUGAAGAAGGCCUUCGGGUUGUAAAGCACUUUUGUCCGGAAAGAAAUCCUUGGCCCUAAUACGGUCGGGGGAUGACGGUACCGGAAGAAUAAGCACCGGCUAACUACGUG